UAUUAUGAUCUCUAUUAUCUUUUCAUUUCGACCCCAGCACCACUGAGGAUAGUCUCAUUACUCCAGUGUGCGAGUGUCGCAGCGAUGAAAUUCAUUCACCACUGAGGAUAGUCUCAUUACUCCAGUGUGCGAGUGUCGCAGCGAUGAAAUUCAUUGUGUGUAUCUUCUUGUUCUUGGUGAUAUUGGAGGGAUUCCAAUGUACACCAUUCCUGCCGUUGUUCAGACCUCCCCGGCGACGCAUUUUCACGGAGAAUCAACUCAUUAACAAUGGUGAUCACAAUGUCAUAUACAUGCGGUCCACAUUGUUUCAUCCGGCUCGAAAUCAGUUGAUUAACAAUGGGAAUCAUAAUACUAUCUUUUUAAGAACAACCCCUUUUACUCGUUCCCAUAAUGUACUCGUUAACAAAGGUGACCAUAACACUAUUUAUGUACGCAACUGUUUGUUCUGCCCAUACAGACGAUUAUAAUUUUAAUCAAAUAUUUAAAACGACAGCCGUAUAAAUAGUAACAGAAAUCAUACUGUAGCAUUGUCUUCCUAUAGCAAAUAUUUGUUGUAAAGAAAAUAAAAUGUACUCGUAUAAAA
Molecule: non-coding RNA, 583 nt
Organism: Spodoptera litura
Lineage: Eukaryota; Metazoa; Arthropoda; Insecta; Lepidoptera; Noctuidae
Source: RefSeq, a predicted model, not a curated record